RNAcentral lists this unclassified non-coding RNA (332 nucleotides) under soil metagenome. Its description in RNAcentral is "partial contains 5.8S ribosomal RNA, internal transcribed spacer 2, and large subunit ribosomal RNA". The stretch from base 1 to 120 matches the Rfam family "5.8S ribosomal RNA", at positions 35 to 154 of the family's 154-position model. The record is from RNAcentral.
GAUGAAGAACGUAGCAAAAUGCGAUAAGUAAUGUGAAUUGCAGAAUUCAGUGAAUCAUCGAAUAUUUGAACGCACAUUGCGCCCGCCAGUAUUCUGGCGGGCAUGCCUGUUCGAGCGUCAUUUCAACCCUCAAGCACAGCUUGGUGUUGGGACUCGCGUUAAUUCGCGUUCCUCAAAUUGAUUGGCGGUCACGUCGAGCUUCCAUAGCGUAGUAGUAAAACCCUCGUUACUGGUAAUCGUCGCGGCCACGCCGUUAAACCCCAACUUCUGAAUGUUGACCUCGGAUCAGGUAGGAAUACCCGCUGAACUUAAGCAUAUCAAUAAGCGGAGGA